RNAcentral lists this transfer RNA (76 nucleotides) under Beggiatoa sp. PS. RNAcentral describes it as "tRNA-Thr". It matches the Rfam family "tRNA". Rfam says of the family: Transfer RNA (tRNA) molecules are approximately 80 nucleotides in length. Their secondary structure includes four short double-helical elements and three loops (D, anti-codon, and T loops). The record is from RNAcentral. Lineage: Bacteria; Pseudomonadati; Pseudomonadota; Gammaproteobacteria; Thiotrichales; Thiotrichaceae.
GCCGGCAUAGCUCAGUUGGUAGAGCAACCGCCUCGUAAGCGGUAGGUCGGACGUUCAACUCGUCUUGCCGGCACCA